UACGGGGGGGGCAAGCGUUGUUCGGAAUUACUGGGCGUAAAGGGUUCGUAGGUGGCCAACUAAGUCAUACGUGAAAUCCCUCAGCUUAACUGGGGAACUGCGUCUGAUACUGGUUGGCUUGAGUGCAGGAGAGGGACGCGGAAUUCCAGGUGUAGCGGUGAAAUGCGUAGAUAUCUGGAGGAACACCGGUGGCGAAGGCGGCGUUCUGGACUGCAACUGACACUGAGGAACGAAAGCCAGGGGAGCAAACGGG
Molecule: ribosomal RNA, 253 nt
Filed under: uncultured bacterium
Lineage: Bacteria
Description: partial 16S ribosomal RNA
Rfam family: Bacterial small subunit ribosomal RNA
Source: RNAcentral